This 102-nucleotide ribosomal RNA is filed under the name Eurystyles actinosophila. RNAcentral's name for it is "partial 18S ribosomal RNA". It matches the Rfam family "Eukaryotic small subunit ribosomal RNA", at positions 1726 to 1831 of the family's 1831-position model. The record is from RNAcentral. Lineage: Eukaryota; Viridiplantae; Streptophyta; Magnoliopsida; Asparagales; Orchidaceae.
UCGCUGCCCGCGACUCUGCGAGAAGUCCAUUGAACCUUAUCAUUUAGAGGAAGGAGAAGUCGUAACAAGGUUUCCGUAGGUGAACCUGCGGAAGGAUCAUUG